ACCAGCCGUGAAGGUCGCCCUGAAAAGGGAAUGACCUCUCACCCGGCCACCCUUGCUUACUUUAACCUGUUGCUUUGGUGGGCCCGCCGUGAGGCCGUCGGGGAACUUGGGUUCCUGGGCCCGUGUCCAUCAAAGUUCUAACUGAACUCUGCAAGUUUCUAUGUUGUCUGAGCGUUAAAGCAUAACCUUUUA
This 192-nucleotide unclassified non-coding RNA is filed under the name uncultured fungus. RNAcentral describes it as "sequence contains ITS1, 5.8S rRNA gene". Lineage: Eukaryota; Fungi. The record is from RNAcentral.